GUAGGUUAUGGUGAUAUGACUCCGAAAACAUACUUAGGAAUGUUUGUUGGGUCGUUGUGUGCUCUCACCGGGGUGCUAACCAUUGCCCUGCCUGUCCCUGUCAUCGUCAGCAAC
This is a regulatory RNA element of Helobdella robusta, 114 nucleotides long. It matches the Rfam family "Potassium channel RNA editing signal". From Rfam's summary of the family: This family represents a group of sequences related to the human potassium channel Kv1.1 hairpin element which directs the efficient modification of an adenosine to inosine by an adenosine deaminase acting on RNA (ADAR). The ADAR modification causes an isoleucine/valine recoding event which lies in the ion-conducting pore of the potassium channel. It is thought that this editing event targets the process of fast inactivation and allows a more rapid recovery from inactivation at negative potentials. Lineage: Eukaryota; Metazoa; Annelida; Clitellata; Rhynchobdellida; Glossiphoniidae. The record is from Rfam.